Phrynosoma platyrhinos (Desert horned lizard) is the source of this 71-nucleotide non-coding RNA. The record is from the annotation of a GenBank genome assembly. NCBI's taxonomy places the organism in Eukaryota, Metazoa, Chordata, Lepidosauria, Squamata, Phrynosomatidae.
GGUAGUGUGGCAUAGUGGUUUAGUGUUGCACUACAGUUCUGGAAGUCAGGGUUCAAUUCCCCACUCAGCCA